ACGCGCCCUGGCCGGAGCUGUUCGACGGCGCGUGGGCCGCAUCCCCGCAGAGGACCAUGCGGCCGCGAUGCCAGUGCGGCACCCGCGGCAUGAUC
Molecule: transfer RNA, 95 nt
Filed under: Winogradskya humida
Lineage: Bacteria; Bacillati; Actinomycetota; Actinomycetes; Micromonosporales; Micromonosporaceae
Description: Actinoplanes humidus tRNA-Cys
Source: RNAcentral